AAGAUUAAAUAAUUACUAAGUAUCAAUAUUCAUAGUCGUUGUCUUUUUAAGCCAAUGGAAUGGGUUUAAUCCUUUAAUCUUGUCUUACACUACGCACGACACUAACUAUAUCUAGUGAGUUUUUUACACGAUAUUUUCAGAUUAAAAUGUCUUUAAAACCUGCCUGGAAUAUGAAAAAAAUCGCUAAAAUAAAUUGAAUAUGGUUUUCAACCGAUAUAUCGUGGAUAAUCUAUCAAUAUCGACACACGGUUUUCGAUUUCAAACAUCGGUUUUUUAUCGG
Cinara cedri is the source of this 280-nucleotide non-coding RNA. Lineage: Eukaryota; Metazoa; Arthropoda; Insecta; Hemiptera; Aphididae. The record is from the annotation of a GenBank genome assembly.